GGAUGGGACUCUGGAAAGAGCCUUUAAAGGCCACCGUAGAAGUAAAGCUUUCAGGUAAAAAUACAGAGGGUAUAGG
RNAcentral lists this non-coding RNA (76 nucleotides) under [Clostridium] hylemonae. Its description in RNAcentral is "Clostridium hylemonae Glycine sequence". It matches the Rfam family "Glycine riboswitch aptamer". From Rfam's summary of the family: This family represents the bacterial glycine riboswitch. Glycine riboswitches usually consist of two metabolite-binding aptamers domains with similar structures in tandem. The aptamers cooperatively bind glycine to regulate the expression of downstream genes. The record is from RNAcentral. Lineage: Bacteria; Bacillati; Bacillota; Clostridia; Lachnospirales; Lachnospiraceae.